Molecule: ribosomal RNA, 591 nt
Filed under: uncultured bacterium
Lineage: Bacteria
Description: bacterial SSU rRNA
Rfam family: Bacterial small subunit ribosomal RNA
Source: RNAcentral
CCUACGGGAGGCAGCAGUGGGGAAUAUUGGACAAUGGGCGCAAGCCUGAUCCAGCCAUGCCGCGUGAGUGAUGAAGGCCUUAGGGUUGUAAAGCUCUUUUGCCAGGGAAGAUAAUGACUGUACCUGGAGAAUAAGCCCCGGCUAACUUCGUGCCAGCAGCCGCGGUAAUACGAAGGGGGCUAGCGUUGUUCGGAAUCACUGGGCGUAAAGCGCACGUAGGCGGACUUUUAAGUCAGGGGUGAAAGCCUGAGGCUCAACCUCAGAACUGCCCUUGAUACUGGGAGUCUUGAGUAUGGUAGAGGUUGGUGGAACAGCAAGUGUAGAGGUGAAAUUCGUAGAUAUUUGCUAGAACACCAGUGGCGAAGGCGGCCAACUGGACCAUAACUGACGCUGAGGUGCGAAAGCGUGGGGAGCAAACAGGAUUAGAUACCCUGGUAGUCCACGCCGUAAACGAUGGAUGCUAGCCGUUAGCCAGCUUGCUGGGUAGUGGCGCAGGUAACCCUUUAAGCAUCCCGCCUGGGGAGUACGGUCGCAAGAUUAAAACUCAAAUGAAUUGACGGNUGAGAGNGCGACGACGACGACGAGGGAGAG